UAGCUAGUUGGUGAGGUAAAGGCUUACCAAGGCGACGAUCUGUAGCGGGUCUGAGAGGAUGAUCCGCCACACUGGAACUGAGACACGGUCCAGACCCCUACGGGAGGCAGCAGUGGGGAAUUUUGGACAAUGGGGGCAACCCUGAUCCAGCCAUGCCGCGUGAGUGAAGAAGGCCUUCGGGUUGUAAAGCUCUUUCGGCCGGGAAGAAAUCGCAUGGGCCAAUACCCUGUGUGGAUGACGGUACCGGAAUAAGAAGCACCGGCUAACUACGUGCCAGCAGCCGCGGUAAUACGUAGGGUGCGAGCGUUAAUCGGAAUUACUGGGCGUAAAGCGUGCGCAGGCGGUUUUGUAAGACAGGCGUGAAAUCCCCGGGCUUAACCUGGGAACUGCGUUUGUGACUGCAAGGCUAGAGUACGGCAGAGGGGGGUGGAAUUCCACGUGUAGCAGUGAAAUGCGUAGAGAUGUGGAGGAACACCAAUGGCGAAGGCAGCCCCCUGGGUCGAUACUGACGCUCAUGCACGAAAGCGUGGGUAGCAAACAGGAUUAGAUACCCUGGUAGUCCACGCCCUAAACUAUGUCAACUAGGUGUUGGGUGGGUAAAACCAUUUAGUACCGUAGCUAACGCGUGAAGUUGACCGCCUGGGGAGUACGGCCGCAAGGUUAAAACUCAAAGGAAUUGACGGGGACCCGCACAAGCGGUGGAUGAUGUGGAUUAAUUCGAUGCAACGCGAAAAACCUUACCUACCCUUGACACGCCAGGAACUUGCCAGAGAUGGCUCGGUGCCCGAAAGGGAGCCUGGACACAGGUGCUGCAUGGCUGUCGUCAGCUCGUGUCGUGAGAUGUUGGGUUAAGUCCCGCAACGAGCGCAACCCUUGUCGUUAAUUGCCAUCAUUUGGUUGGGCACUUUAACGAGACUGCCGGUGACAAACCGGAGGAAGGUGGGGAUGACGUCAAGUCCUCAUGGCCCUUAUGGGUAGGGCUUCACACGUCAUACAAUGGUCGGUACAAAGGGUUGCCAAGCCGCGAGGCGGAGCCAAUCCCAGAAAGCCGAUCGUAGUCCGGAUUGCAGGCUGCAACUCGCCUGCAUGAAGUCGGAAUCGCUAGUAAUCGUGGAUCAGCAUGUCACGGUGAAUACGUUCCCGGGUCUUGUACACACCGCCCGUCACACCAUGGGAGCGGGUUCCGCCAGAAGUAGGUAGCCUAACCGCAAGGGGGGCGCUUACCACGGCGGGGUUCGUGACUGGGGUGAAGUCGAAACAAGGUAGCCGUAGGGGAACCUGCGGCUG
Molecule: ribosomal RNA, 1287 nt
Filed under: metagenome
Description: bacterial SSU rRNA
Rfam family: Bacterial small subunit ribosomal RNA
Source: RNAcentral